This 1710-nucleotide ribosomal RNA is filed under the name Escherichia coli. RNAcentral describes it as "partial 23S ribosomal RNA". It matches the Rfam family "Bacterial large subunit ribosomal RNA", at positions 1 to 1744 of the family's 2925-position model. Lineage: Bacteria; Pseudomonadati; Pseudomonadota; Gammaproteobacteria; Enterobacterales; Enterobacteriaceae. The record is from RNAcentral.
GGGUUGUGAGGUUAAGCGACUAAGCGUACACGGUGGAUGCCCUGGCAGUCAGAGGCGAUGAAGGACGUGCUAAUCUGCGAUAAGCGUCGGUAAGGUGAUAUGAACCGUUAUAACCGGCGAUUUCCGAAUGGGGAAACCCAGUGUGUUUCGACACACUAUCAUUAACUGAAUCCAUAGGUUAAUGAGGCGAACCGGGGGAACUGAAACAUCUAAGUACCCCGAGGAAAAGAAAUCAACCGAGAUUCCCCCAGUAGCGGCGAGCGAACGGGGAGCAGCCCAGAGCCUGAAUCAGUGUGUGUGUUAGUGGAAGCGUCUGGAAAGGCGCGCGAUACAGGGUGACAGCCCCGUACACAAAAAUGCACAUGCUGUGAGCUCGAUGAGUAGGGCGGGACACGUGGUAUCCUGUCUGAAUAUGGGGGGACCAUCCUCCAAGGCUAAAUACUCCUGACUGACCGAUAGUGAACCAGUACCGUGAGGGAAAGGCGAAAAGAACCCCGGCGAGGGGAGUGAAAAAGAACCUGAAACCGUGUACGUACAAGCAGUGGGAGCACGCUUCGGCGUGUGACUGCGUACCUUUUGUAUAAUGGGUCAGCGACUUAUAUUCUGUAGCAAGGUUAACCGAAUAGGGGAGCCGAAGGGAAACCGAGUCUUAACUGGGCGUUAAGUUGCAGGGUAUAGACCCGAAACCCGGUGAUCUAGCCAUGGGCAGGUUGAAGGUUGGGUAACACUAACUGGAGGACCGAACCGACUAAUGUUGAAAAAUUAGCGGAUGACUUGUGGCUGGGGGUGAAAGGCCAAUCAAACCGGGAGAUAGCUGGUUCUCCCCGAAAGCUAUUUAGGUAGCGCCUCGUGAAUUCAUCUCCGGGGGUAGAGCACUGUUUCGGCAAGGGGGUCAUCCCGACUUACCAACCCGAUGCAAACUGCGAAUACCGGAGAAUGUUAUCACGGGAGACACACGGCGGGUGCUAACGUCCGUCGUGAAGAGGGAAACAACCCAGACCGCCAGCUAAGGUCCCAAAGUCAUGGUUAAGUGGGAAACGAUGUGGGAAGGCCCAGACAGCCAGGAUGUUGGCUUAGAAGCAGCCAUCAUUUAAAGAAAGCGUAAUAGCUCACUGGUCGAGUCGGCCUGCGCGGAAGAUGUAACGGGGCUAAACCAUGCACCGAAGCUGCGGCAGCGACGCUUAUGCGUUGUUGGGUAGGGGAGCGUUCUGUAAGCCUGUGAAGGUGUGCUGUGAGGCAUGCUGGAGGUAUCAGAAGUGCGAAUGCUGACAUAAGUAACGAUAAAGCGGGUGAAAAGCCCGCUCGCCGGAAGACCAAGGGUUCCUGUCCAACGUUAAUCGGGGCAGGGUGAGUCGACCCCUAAGGCGAGGCCGAAAGGCGUAGUCGAUGGGAAACAGGUUAAUAUUCCUGUACUUGGUGUUACUGCGAAGGGGGGACGGAGAAGGCUAUGUUGGCCGGGCGACGGUUGUCCCGGUUUAAGCGUGUAGGCUGGUUUUCCAGGCAAAUCCGGAAAAUCAAGGCUGAGGCGUGAUGACGAGGCACUACGGUGCUGAAGCAACAAAUGCCCUGCUUCCAGGAAAAGCCUCUAAGCAUCAGGUAACAUCAAAUCGUACCCCAAACCGACACAGGUGGUCAGGUAGAGAAUACCAAGGCGCUUGAGAGAACUCGGGUGAAGGAACUAGGCAAAAUGGUGCCGUAACUUCGGGAGAA